AAAUUUUACACAAGGUUUAUGACCACAAAAGGAAGGUUGAGAUUGAUUUUGAGAGUUUUGGUCCCAACAUUUUAGGAAUAAGGGGCCAAAAAGGGCCCAAAUAAGCAUUUUCUUGGUUUUCGCACUAUAACUUUAGUUUAAGUGCAUAGAAAUCUAUGAAAUUUUGACACAAGGUUUAUGACCACAAAAGGAAGGUUGGGAUUGAUUUUGGGAGUUUUAGUUCAAACAGUUUAGGAAUUAGGGGCCAAAAAAGGGCCCAAAUAAGCAUUAUUCUUGGUUUUCGCACAUUAACUUUAGUAUAAGUAAAUAGAAAUCAAUGAAAUUUAAACACAAGGUUUAUGACCACAAAAGUAAGGUUGCAAUUGAUUUUGGGAGUUAAGGUCUCAACAGUUUAGGAAUUAGGGGCCAAAAAGGGGC
Molecule: long non-coding RNA, 417 nt
Filed under: Mytilus galloprovincialis (Mediterranean mussel)
Lineage: Eukaryota; Metazoa; Mollusca; Bivalvia; Mytilida; Mytilidae
Source: RNAcentral